UAAUACGAAUGGAGCGAGCGUUGUUCGGAAUCACUGGGCGUAAAGGGUGCGCAGGCGGUCAUGAAAGUUAGAAGUGAAAGCCCCGGGCUUAACCCGGGAAUUGCUUUUAAAACUCCAUGACUAGAGUACUGGAGAGGUUGGCGGAAUUCCAAGUGUAGCAGUGAAAUGCGUAGAUAUUUGGAGGAACACCGAUGGCGUAGGCAGCCAACUGGACAGUAACUGACGCUCAUGCACGAAAGCGUGGGGAUCAAACAGG
This 256-nucleotide ribosomal RNA is filed under the name uncultured bacterium. RNAcentral's name for it is "partial 16S ribosomal RNA". It matches the Rfam family "Bacterial small subunit ribosomal RNA", at positions 521 to 776 of the family's 1533-position model. The record is from RNAcentral.